This 497-nucleotide ribosomal RNA is filed under the name uncultured bacterium. RNAcentral's name for it is "partial 16S ribosomal RNA". It matches the Rfam family "Bacterial small subunit ribosomal RNA", at positions 28 to 507 of the family's 1533-position model. The record is from RNAcentral.
GAUGAACGCUGGCGGCGUGCCUAAUACAUGCAAGUCGAGCGAACAGACGAGGAGCUUGCUCCUCUGACGUUAGCGGCGGACGGGUGAGUAACACGUGGAUAACCUACCUAUAAGACUGGGAUAACUUCGGGAAACCGGAGCUAAUACCGGAUAAUAUAUUGAACCGCAUGGUUCAAUAGUGAAAGACGGUUUUGCUGUCACUUAUAGAUGGAUCCGCGCCGCAUUAGCUAGUUGGUAAGGUAACGGCUUACCAAGGCAACGAUGCGUAGCCGACCUGAGAGGGUGAUCGGCCACACUAGAACUGAGACACGGUCCAGACUCCUACGAGAGGCAGCAGUAGGGAAUCUUCCGCAAUGGGCGAAAGCCUGACGGAGCAACGCCGCGUGAGUGAUGAAGGUCUGCGGAUCGUAAAACUCUGUUAUUAGGGAAGAACAAAUGUGUAAGUAACUAUGCACGUCUUGACGGUACCUAAUCAGAAAGCCACGGCUAACUACGUG